AUUGAACGCUGGCGGCAUGCCUUACACAUGCAAGUCGAACGGUAACAGGUCUUCGGAUGCUGACGAGUGGCGAACGGGUGAGUAAUACAUCGGAACGUGCCUAGUAGUGGGGGAUAACUACUCGAAAGAGUGGCUAAUACCGCAUGAGAUCUACGAUGAAAGCAGGGGAUCGCAAGACCUUGUGCUACUAGAGCGGCCGAUGGCAGAUUAGGUAGUUGGUGGGAUAAAAGCUUACCAAGCCGACGAUCUGUAGCUGGUCUGAGAGGACGAUCAGACACACUGGGACAGAGACACGGCCCAGACUCCGACGGGAGGGAGCAGUGGGGAAUUUUGGAGAAUGGGCGAAAGCCUGAUCCAGCAAUGCCGCGUGCAAGAUGAAGGCCUUCGGGUUGUAAACUGCUUUUGUACGGAACGAAAAGCCCCGGGUUAAUACCCUGGGGUCAUGACGGUACCGUAAGAAUAAGCACCGGCUAACUACGUGCCAGCCGCCGCGGUAA
This 497-nucleotide ribosomal RNA is filed under the name uncultured bacterium. RNAcentral's name for it is "partial 16S ribosomal RNA". It matches the Rfam family "Bacterial small subunit ribosomal RNA", at positions 30 to 523 of the family's 1533-position model. The record is from RNAcentral.